Non-coding RNA from Triticum urartu, 1591 nucleotides. The record is from RefSeq and is a predicted model, not a curated record. Lineage: Eukaryota; Viridiplantae; Streptophyta; Magnoliopsida; Poales; Poaceae.
AAGCUCCUUUUUGCCACUGAUGAAUUAGUUGAUGCAUGUGGAGAUUUUCAAUACUAGGAGAACCAAGUUUAAAUAUGUGCAAUUCCAUCUAUCUAGCAUCAAUGUCGGGUGAGGUUAGACUACAAGAAAGACUAGAUAUUAAGCUUGUCCAUUCUGUCUACACCUUUUGAAUCUGAAGUGACUACUGUUGUAAAUAAUGCUACUUGAGUACCUGGUUGAUUGGUUUUGUUAUUGUGGCAUUGAGUAGCCUAGUACAUUAGUGGUGUCAGCUAUAUUUUGUAAGUUUGUUAUCGAUUCCAUUUGGGUAUAUGUGUGUGUGAUUGAAAAAUAAUGGUUUAGAUAUGAAUUGCUACAGUUUUAUAUAAUACUCUUUGAUCUAUGCUGCUAGGUCUGCCGCUGCGUGCAUGACAACAUGAGGUGCCGCAAUCGGCGUGGUAUGCUGGUGGAUGAUGGCGACAGUUAGAUGGUUGGCAAGGAUUAUGAGAGGUCGGCGAGCAGCACUCCUUCCUCUGUUCCCUGUGGAGAAGAUGACCUGCAGCUCAUUGACUGUUGAGUUCCCUCGAGUCUCUCUUUCUUCCGGCAAGCACAAAAACACAAUAACAGUUGGGAGGGUUGCUUUGUAUCCCUAGACCCACACCCACACCCGACCACCAUCUCCCAUUUUCCUCAGUAUCACGACCUGUUGCGACGUUGGCAGCGCAAUCAGUCGGAGGAGGCCAGCGGUGGCGAUGAUGGCAAUGCGAUGGGGAAAGGUUGCUCGUCGUCGUGGCACCAGCAAUUCCACGAUCGCAUAAUACCCGCAUGUUGAUGACCUCCAGGCUCUCCGGCCUCCUCCCUCCAGGCGUACUAUUGUUCAAGAUAGUGUGUGUGACAUAUGUGGGAAUGGGGAGGAAGAUGAAUAUCAUGUUGUUAUAUCAUGCACAAAAAGUAAGGCGUUGAGAUUUGCCAUGAGGAAAGAGUGGAGGCUUCCAGAAGAAAAGGAGUUCUGGUACACUGGAACAGACUGGCUACAAAUCCUACUGGACAAGUAUGAUUCAGAGAUAAGAAAGAAAAAUAUGUUGUUGUUAUGGAGAGCCUGGUUUCUACGAGAUAACUGUAUCCACAGUGAUGGCAAAGAAACCAUUUCGAGAUCGGUGAUGUUCCUUGUGCAGUAUGAGGAGGAAAUCAGGAAUUUGUCGCUAUCUGUUGUUGGACAGGGAAACAAGAGUUGCUGGUCCCUGUCUGCAUCUAUGCAGACACACCACACCUAGGAAUCAUCCGAACGCCGAGCCAAAUGCCCAGUGGAAAGAGCCGCCUGAAGGUGUUGUAAAACUGAACACUGACGCUGCCUUUUUGUCAGGCACGGGCCAAGCCUAGGCUGGCGGGAUCGCACGGGAUCAUACGGGGCAUGUUGUCUUCUCGGCGAGUAAAUCGAUGAAUAAAUGCAUAUCAGUUGAAGAGGCAGAGGGGCAAGCUAUCCUGAUGGGUCUGGUAUCGCUGUCGAGACUGUACCAAGGCCCACUGAUCAUUGAGACUGACAUCAAAAUGAUUGCAAAUGAAUUGGGACAAGCCAGAUCAAGCCGAUCGGAUUGUUUUCUAGGUUGUUAGUGAG